RNAcentral lists this ribosomal RNA (429 nucleotides) under uncultured bacterium. RNAcentral's name for it is "bacterial SSU rRNA". It matches the Rfam family "Bacterial small subunit ribosomal RNA", at positions 224 to 670 of the family's 1533-position model. The record is from RNAcentral.
GAUCGGCCCGCGUCUGAUUAGCUAGUUGGUGGGGUAACGGCCUACCAAGGCGACGAUCAGUAGCUGGUCUGAGAGGAUGAUCAGCCACACUGGGACUGAGACACGGCCCAGACUCCUACGGGAGGCAGCAGUGGGGAAUAUUGGACAAUGGGCGCAAGCCUGAUCCAGCCAUGCCGCGUGAGUGAUGAAGGCCUUAGGGUUGUAAAGCUCUUUUAUCCGGGACGAUAAUGACGGUACCGGAGGAAUAAGCCCCGGCUAACUUCGUGCCAGCAGCCGCGGUAAUACGAAGGGGGCUAGCGUUGCUCGGAAUCACUGGGCGUAAAGGGCGCGUAGGCGGCGUUUUAAGUCGGGGGUGAAAGCCUGUGGCUCAACCACAGAAUGGCCUUCGAUACUGGGACGCUUGAGUAUGGUAGAGGUUGGUGGAACUGC